GUUUACAUCUCUUCACUGAGAGCCAAUUAUCUCGCUUUUGUGUGAGGCCCAAGGAUCACUCAUGCUGCCAGGCUGCACAGAGCACUGUUGGAUCUAGCUGAAUGAAUUGUUUUCCCUGUCUCUGCAAUCUUAUUCAAGGCCCUCUAAGGAAAAUGACAAUAAAUAUGACCCAUCACCACCCUUCAAUCACACUUUAGGAAAGGAGUCUUAGAAAGAAAACGUCCUGGAAUUCACCAAUAAAUCAUUGAGACCCUGGUGAAACUUACCAAUUCAGAGGGAGAUUAAAAGUUCCACUCACUGAAACACAGCAAGCCUGUCACCUAUCAAAGGUUGCACCUUUGGAGUCUUUCUAAUAAAGGUCUGAGGAGUAAUCUAA
This is a long non-coding RNA of Eptesicus fuscus (big brown bat), 376 nucleotides long. RefSeq lists it as uncharacterized. The record is from RefSeq and is a predicted model, not a curated record. The transcript has 3 exons. Lineage: Eukaryota; Metazoa; Chordata; Mammalia; Chiroptera; Vespertilionidae.